RNAcentral lists this ribosomal RNA (377 nucleotides) under uncultured cyanobacterium. RNAcentral's name for it is "bacterial SSU rRNA". It matches the Rfam family "Bacterial small subunit ribosomal RNA", at positions 376 to 770 of the family's 1533-position model. The record is from RNAcentral. Lineage: Bacteria; Bacillati; Cyanobacteriota.
CGCAAGCCUGACGGAGCAAGACCGCGUGCGGGAUGACGGCCUAAUGGUUGUAAACCGCUUUUCUCUGGGAAGACGAUGACGGUACCAGAGGAAUCAGCCUCGGCUAACUCCGUGCCAGCAGCCGCGGUAAUACGGAGGAGGCAAGCGUUAUCCGGAAUUAUUGGGCGUAAAGCGUCCGUAGGUGGUUAUUCAAGUCUGCUGUCAAAGCGUGGGGCUUAACUCCAUAGAGGCAGUGGAAACUGGAUGGCUUGAGUGCGGUAGGGGUCGAGGGAAUUCCCAGUGUGGCGGUGAAAUGCGUAGAUAUUGGGAAGAACACCGGUGGCGAAAGCGCUCUACUGGGUCGCACCUGACCCUCAGGGACGAAAGCUAAGGUAGCG